RNAcentral lists this transfer RNA (76 nucleotides) under Nitrosomonadaceae bacterium. RNAcentral's name for it is "tRNA-Lys". It matches the Rfam family "tRNA". Rfam says of the family: Transfer RNA (tRNA) molecules are approximately 80 nucleotides in length. Lineage: Bacteria; Pseudomonadati; Pseudomonadota; Betaproteobacteria; Nitrosomonadales; Nitrosomonadaceae. The record is from RNAcentral.
GCGCGCUUAGCUCAACUGGCAGAGCAAGACUUUCUUAAAGUCGAGGUUGUGGGUUCAACUCCCACAGCGCGCACCA